Juglans microcarpa x Juglans regia is the source of this 567-nucleotide long non-coding RNA. RefSeq lists it as uncharacterized. The record is from RefSeq and is a predicted model, not a curated record. The transcript is spliced from 2 exons. Lineage: Eukaryota; Viridiplantae; Streptophyta; Magnoliopsida; Fagales; Juglandaceae.
UUUAUUCUUUUUAUAAUUUAUUUUCUGUCUUUUUUCAAGUUAUGCCCUUUUCCGGAAUAUUUUGACUCCAAUUGAUUUGUUAAAGGAAAAAGAUAUGCUUCAUUUCUAUACUGAAAAGAUAAGGAAACUUGUUUGAAGUGUUUAAGGGGAAUCUCUGAAGUUGGGUAUUUGUUUCGUGAUGUGCAAAUUCAAUUAAUGAGAGUGCCUGAAUAUGGUUGGACAACGCAGAAAGUUUUCCAUCUCAUGAACUUCAUUGUUAAUGGAGUACGUGCAAUUGUGUUUGGAUUUCACACGCAAGUGUUUGUAUUGCGCCCAAAGGUUAGUUUGUCAAGUUUCGAGAAAUCUGAUUCCAGAACUCCAAAAGUAUUUAAGCCAACCAUGCUAUGUAAUGUGACACUUGCAUUGGCUUUUGAGUUUUGUAUAGUGAUAGUUCCAGGACUUGAAUGUGAUCAGCCGAUCUUUCUUAUUUCUUUUCCACCAUUCAUCUUUCUGAAUUGUAGAGCUCCACAUAGUUUGAAAAGUAUGAAGCAAACCAAAAGGAAAUGACUAAAACUUAUCUCCACUCUU